This 3062-nucleotide long non-coding RNA is filed under the name Marmota monax (woodchuck). The record is from RNAcentral. Lineage: Eukaryota; Metazoa; Chordata; Mammalia; Rodentia; Sciuridae.
AAUCAAGGACGAAUAUUAAAACACUGAAAAACUUUUUAAACAUUGUUAGAAAAAUAUAGACUUAAAUAUUCCUAUUUUAAAAUUAAGAAUAAUUUUCAUUGCAUAAAAUAUAAUAUACAGCUUCCAAAUUGUCAGGGGGGAAACUGGAAGGAAAAAAAUAAGCGUAAACAGAAAAUACAAUAGAAUGAUAGAAACAAGAUAUCAUUGUUUGCAAUAGCAUAAGACAAUAAACAAUAUAGAAAUCACCAAAAGGAGAAUAGACCAAUGAAUGUUUGUUCAAUUGUUCAAUGGUAAGCAACAGAUUAUGUCAUGUGAAUGAGCUGUAAUAUCUAUUAGUGGUCUGUAGUUGGAAGAAAAAGCAAGUUGAAAGGCCUACACUUGGUAUGAUAAAAUUUAUCUAAAUUUCUAAAGUCUGAAAAAAUGGGAGGAGAAGGGGAAAGGAGAAGUGAAAUUAACCAAAACUCAACAAACUUGUAUAAAAGUAAUACUUUCAUAAUCAAUUGGUAAUUUUUUGUCAUAAUUUCUCAGACUUUCCUCUUUUCAUGAAAGUUUAAAUGAUUUUGUAAUUCUCUGAUUAUUUCACAUUCUUGGGGGGUUUUGUUUUUCAGGGUUUUUUUUUUCUUCUUAUUUCCAAUUCUUUUAAACCAAAUAAGUCAGCCCUGCUCAGACAUGGGCACAUUUCGUUCUCUCUCAUAGCUCUUCAACAAGAGGGGAAAUUGCUGAAUUUAACUAAUAAUAAUUACCUCUACAUUCCAGGGAAUGCUGUUUCCUUUCAUUUUAAAUCCGCCAAAUCCUUGGCCUCACUAUCAAUGCAGUACUGAGAUGCCAACUCAAUCAUAAACUCAGAAUUAUUCAAGCAUGGCUUUAGCUUAAUUGCAAAUCAUACAUUUUCAAAUUGUAAUCUAAUUGGACAGCCACUAACUAUCCAAAAAUAUUAGAUUAAUUAUUCCGUGAUUGUUGCUUUUCUUAAAAAAAGGAUCAUUUUUUUCCUCACAGUUCUGAUUACCUACCUGUUUAGUGAGUAGUAUAAUUGAUUAGUGAUUUCCUAACUCCCCAUUUAGGUUCACUUUUGGGACAGUCUAUUUUCAAAUAGUUCAGAGAAGGUCCAAACUGGAAAAAGAAGGGUUUUAGAAAGACCUGUUUAAGCCCAUUUAACAAAUGAGGAAAUUAAGUUCGAGAAACAAAAUUAACUAUCAAAAGUCACAAAUCAGUAAAGGGUACUGUUAGACUAAAGUUCAUCUCUCUUGGUCUACACUUUUAAUAAUCAUCGUGUUUUCUUUGUUUGUUUUGCAAUACUAGGGAUUGAACCCAAAGCCUGCCUCAUGCAUGCUGGGCAAGUACUUCACCUCCAAGCCAAUCCAUUGCAAAUUUUUAAGGCACUUCAGAAACAUGGGUACUGAGGAAGCAGGGAAUACCAACACAGUUUGGUCCUUCUAUCUUCUCUGAUGUGUUCUUCCAUAUGGCUCAUGUCAGAAGAACUGAGACAGUUGGAAAAUAGAGAAUAUUGAAUGUAGUUUUUUGUAAAGUGCAAUAUACAUUUAUUAAGCAUUCAAUAAAUGUUACAUAAAUGACUUAUUUUAUACUUACAGGAAAUUAAGGCCAAAUACCCUUUCAAUCAUUGUGGCAAUAUUGUUUUAAAACUGAAUGUUUGAUAGUUUUAAGUGAUCAGAUUUCCUGAAAGAAUCCAAUGUCCAUAUCAUAUGUUUAUUUUUAAUAAUCCAGCAUUUUGUCAUUGAAACUUCUCGUGAUUUUCUGCUAUCCAAAUCAAAUACAAAAAGAAAAUAAAAGAUUUCUCAGGUAAGUUAUAAAGAAUAAGUUCAAGUUCUGAACUUGAUCUGAUUGGGUCUAGGAACUGACUUAAUGAAACACCAGAGGAAGAAAAAGAGGUUUUAAAAUUGAAAAAUUUCCAAGUGAGGACAGAGAAAAUAGUAUUUAUAAUUUCUAAUUUAAAAAGUUAAAGAUUAAUUUUUAAAACAAGCUAUAUAAGUGGUAGAAAUACCUGCUUAGAAGGGCAUGGUCAUUGGUUCAAUCCUCAGUACCCCCCAACACCCUCCAAAAAUGUAACGUGGAAUUCCAGUGCUGGCCAAGAUGGAGUAAACCUCCUAUGAUUUGUCUCUUACUAUUAUAACUAAAAUGUAGACAGACUAAAAAAGGUGACCACCUGAGGACUCUGAAAAGCAAACAACAAAAGGCAAUUAAACAAGGAAGCCGCAACCUGAAACACAGGCCUCCAGCACAAUGGUGAGUUUCCAAUAUUUCUCCCCCUUUUAUGGCAGCUUUGACUUGAGGGUGAGCCAAGAAGUCUGGGAACAGUGCAGUAGGUGUGAACAAGGAACUUAACUGCUCUUUCUAGCCAAAGGAAUGGGUGGAGGGUGGGCAGAUCUAGCUGGAGAGUAUAGAGGAUUCCCCUCUGUAAUGAAUUGAAUGUCUGGGUUCUCCCAAAUUCAUAUCCUGAAAUCCUAACCCCCACAUUAGGAGGCAGGUAUUAGAUCAUGAGGGCAAAGCCCUCAUGAUUGGGAUUAGUGUCCUUGUAAAACAAGCCCCAGAGAGUUGAUCCUUCCACUAUGGGAGGAUGCAAUGAGAAAUCUAUAUUCUGCAACUCCAAAGAGGACCCUCAUCAGAAACCAACUAUGUUGACAUCCUGAUCUUAAACUUCCAGUUUUCAGAACUGUGAGAAAUAAAGUUUUAUUGUUUUUAAGCCAUUUAGAAAUUAUUAUUCCUUAUAACAAGAUAAGAUAUUCUUGUCUCCCCUGUUUUUCUCACUGUCUCAAAGCCAACCCAAACAGUGCAUUUGAAAAUGCACAAUGAAGCUAAGCAAAAAACUUGAGGAUCCAACUAUGAUCUGCUCUUUACUGUCCAGGUCCCAAUCAGACUUCUCAGUGGUUCAUGCACAUGGGCUUUGAAUGUGGGAAUCACCACCCACAAAUAAUAAAACAAACUCACUAAAUGAUUCUGUGUCCAUCACCUGAUUUCAAGAUUUACUAUAAAGUUACAGAAGUCAAGAUAGUGUGAUAUUAGCAAAAUGUAGACCCAUGGAACAGAACAAAGAGCUCAUAAAUAGA